AUACGGAGGGUGCAAGCGUUAAUCGGAAUAACUGGGCGUAAAGCGCACGCAGGCGGUUGGAUAAGCGAGAUGUGAAACGCCCCGGGCUCAACCUGGGAACUGCAUUUCGAACUGUCCGACUAGAGUCUUGUAGAGGGGGGUAGAAUUCCAGGUGUAGCGGUGAAAUGCGUAGAGAUCUGGAGGAAUACCGGUGGCGAAGGCGGCCCCCUGGACAAAGACUGACGCUCAGGUGCGAAAGCGUGGGGAGC
This 248-nucleotide ribosomal RNA is filed under the name uncultured bacterium. RNAcentral's name for it is "partial 16S ribosomal RNA". It matches the Rfam family "Bacterial small subunit ribosomal RNA", at positions 523 to 769 of the family's 1533-position model. The record is from RNAcentral.